UUUGGUGUGUCUCCCAGGUGGCUUGUGGCAAACUUUAAACAACACUUUUUAUGGAUAUCUUUAAGAAAUGGCUUUCUUCUUGCCACUCUUCCAUAAAGGCCAGAUUUAUGCAAUAUACGACUGAUUGUUGUCCUAUGGACAGAGUCUCCCACCUCAGCUGUAGAUCUCUGCAGUUCAUCCAGAGUGAUUAUGGGCCUCUUGGCUGCAUCUCUGAUCAGUCUUCUACUUGUAUGAGCUGAACGUUUAGAGGGAAGGCCAGGUCUUGGUAGAUUUGCAGUGGUCUGAUACUCCUUCCAUUUCAAUAUUAUCGCUUGCACAGUGCUCCUUGGGAUGUUUAAAGCUUGGGAAAUCUUUUUGUAUCCAAAUCCGGCUUUAAACUUCUUCACAACAGUAUCCCGGACCUGCCUGGUGUGUUCCUUGUUCUUCAUGAUGCUCUCUGCGCUUUUAACGGACCUCUGAGACAAUCACAGUGCAGGUGCAUUUAUACGGAGACUUGAUUACACACAGGUGGAUUGUAUUUAUCAUCAUUAGUCAUUUAGGUCAACAUUGGAUCAUUCAGAGAUCCUCACUGAACUUCUGGAGAGAGUUUUCUGCACUGAAAGUAAAGGGGCUGAAUAAUUUUGCACGCCCAAUUUUUCAGUUUUUGAUUUGUUAAAAAAGUUUGAAAUAUCCAAUAAAUGUCGUUCCACUUCA
Long non-coding RNA from Oncorhynchus keta (chum salmon), 693 nucleotides. RefSeq lists it as uncharacterized. The record is from RefSeq and is a predicted model, not a curated record. The transcript has 2 exons. Lineage: Eukaryota; Metazoa; Chordata; Actinopteri; Salmoniformes; Salmonidae.